AGCACUUGUGUGUGUUUUUGUAUUAAUUUGUGGACUAAAACCUAAUGAUCAGGUGCACUAAAAAAAUCAUCUUUUGCAACCCAUAAUAUUGUUUGGUAUGAGUUUUAUUACAUAUAAAGGGAGCCAAA
Cavia porcellus (domestic guinea pig) is the source of this 128-nucleotide small nucleolar RNA. Ensembl annotates it as small nucleolar RNA SNORA40. NCBI's taxonomy places the organism in Eukaryota, Metazoa, Chordata, Mammalia, Rodentia, Caviidae. The record is from Ensembl.